Molecule: long non-coding RNA, 739 nt
Filed under: Marmota monax (woodchuck)
Lineage: Eukaryota; Metazoa; Chordata; Mammalia; Rodentia; Sciuridae
Source: RNAcentral
GCUGUCUAUAAAUAGAGGCAAUCUUUCUUUCUAGAUUCUAUUUUUUAUUCUUGUAAAAUACACAAAAUCUAACAUUACUGUUUGAACACUUUUGUUUCGGGGGAGGUGUGGUGGUACUGGGGAUUGAAGGGGCAAUUAGCCACUGAGCCACAUCCUCAGUCCUUUUUAUUUUUUAUUCAGAGACAGGGUUUCACUAAGUUGCUUAGGGCCUCACUGAGUUGCUGGGGCUGGCCUCAAACUUGUAAUCCACCUGCCUCAGCCUCCAGUCACUGGCAUUACAGGCGUGUACCACUGCACCUGGUCUUGAACACUUUUUAAGUGGAAAAUUUAUGGCAUUAGAUAUACUCACAUUGUUGUUCAACCACCAUUUCCAGAAGUUUUUAUCACUUCAAACAGCACCCAUUAAACCACCACUCCUCAAUCUCUCUCUCCCCCAGCCACUGGCUACUACCAAUUGGCUUUCUAUCUCUAUGGAUUUACCUACUUGAACAUUUCAUAUAAAUACAAUAAAAAUAUAUGGCCUUUGCAUCGUAUUUCAUUAGUAUAAUGUUUUCAAGAUUUAUACACAUUUCGGUAUAUAUCAAAACUUUAGUCAUUUUUUGGGACUGGAUAAUGUUCCAUUGUGUCAAUAUACCACAAUAUACCAUUCACCUUUUGAUGGACUUUUGGGUUGUUCCUGUCUUUUGAUUAUUGUGAUUGAUACUGCUGUGAACAUUUAUGUACAGGCUUUAGUUUGAAC